RNAcentral lists this long non-coding RNA (227 nucleotides) under Lathyrus oleraceus (garden pea). Its description in RNAcentral is "Pisum sativum (pea) long non-coding RNA (PSAT_LNC001295)". The record is from RNAcentral. Lineage: Eukaryota; Viridiplantae; Streptophyta; Magnoliopsida; Fabales; Fabaceae.
ACAGCAGCUCUACCAAUGAGGAACUCAGAAGUCAACCCAAGAAUACCCCCUUUCUUCACCAAGGGAGCAUCAAUCUCAUAUUUGUUCAAAUGAAGAGCUUCGACUAUGACAUGAGAUCUGGGAAUCUCCUCCAAUCCACUGAAAGGUACCUUGUCAGAUACGGGUAUACCCAAGAGAUGGGCAUACUCCUCCAACUUGGGCACUAGCUGAUAGUCGAGAAAAGUGAC